AUUUCAUUGUAUGUAUGUGCCUCAUUUUCUUUAUUCAGUCAUUUGUCAGUGGGCAUUGACUCUUUGGCCAUUAUGAAUAAUGCUACAUUAAACAAUGAUAUGCAAAUAUCUCCUUGAUAUUCAGUUUACGGUUUUGUUACAUAUAUACUCAGAAAUGGGAUUGCUGGAUUAUAUGGUAAUUCUAUUUUAAUUUUUAAUGGAAACUCUAUACUGUAUAUCAUAAAGCUAUACCAUUUUACAUUCCCACCAAACACCACACAAGGGUUCUAAUUUAUCUACAACCUUGCCUACACUUGUUUUCUAUUUUUAAAAUAGCCAUCCUAAUGAGUAUAAAAUGGUAUCUCAUUGUAGUCUUGAUUUGCUUUUACUUAAUGAUUAGUGAUGUUGAAAAUAUUUUCAUGUGUUUAUUGGUCAUUUCGUUCAUUUCAUUUCUUCUUCCAAGAAAUGUCUAUGCAAGUCCUUUGCCCACUUCUGAAUCAAGAUGUUCAUUUGUUUCAUUUUGAGUUGUAGGACUUUUUAGAUUAUUUGUUGUCAGUGUAUAGAAACACAACUUACUUCUGCCUGUUGAUUUUAUAUCCUGCAACUUUGCUGAAUUUGUUUAUUCUAACAGUUUUUUUUUUUUUGACAGAGUCGCACUCUGUUGCCUAGGCUGGAGUGCAGUGGCAUGAUCACAGCCCACUGCAGACUGCACUGCCCAGGUGCAAGCAAUUCUCCCACCACAGUCCCCUAAGUAGCUGGGACCACAGGUUUGUGCCACCAUGCCUGACUAAUUUCUAAAUUAUUUGUAGAGAUGAGACUGUCUAUGUUGCCCAAGCUGUUCUUGAACUCCUGGGCUCCUGCCUCAGCCUCCAAAAGUGCUGGGAUUAUAGGCAUGAGCCAGUAUGCCCAGCCUUACUCUCAUAGUGUGUGUGUGUGUGUGUGUGUGUGUGUAUGUGUGUGUGUUUGUGUGAUCUCUAGGAAUCUAUGCAUUUGUCCUAGGUUAUCUCAUUUGUUGGCCUGUACUCAUUCAGUUGUUUCAUAGCAGUCUCUUGAUGCCUUUUAUUUCUGUGGUAUCACUUGCAAUGUCUCAUCUUUCAUUUCUUAUUUUUAUUGACUGUUUUCUCUUUUUCUCAUUAGUUCAGCUAAAAAGUGCUUGUCAAUUUAUUGAUCUUUACAAAAAGCCAGCCCUUAGGUUUACUGAUUAGUUCAUUGUUUUCUACUUUCUUUUUCAUUUAUUUCUUCUCUAAUCUGUCUUAUUCCUUCUUUUAUUUUAUUUACUCCUUUUUUUUUCAUUCCUUGAAGUGUAAAGUCAGGUUGUUAAUUUGAGAUUUUUCUUCUUUGUAUAUAUACGCAUUUACUAUUAUAAGUUUCCUUCUUAGGACUUCUUUUGCUGCAU
This 1375-nucleotide long non-coding RNA is filed under the name Callithrix jacchus (white-tufted-ear marmoset). RNAcentral's name for it is "lncRNA (ENSCJAG00000075563.1)". The record is from RNAcentral. Lineage: Eukaryota; Metazoa; Chordata; Mammalia; Primates; Cebidae.